CUUCUUGAUUUCCCCUGAAGUGGAAUGUGUGUCUUUUUAGAACUACAAGGGGGCAGGUGCAAGUUCCAGGACACAGGUGGGGCUGUACCAACUGCAGGAGGAAGGAGAGGGCCCGCAGAGGCACAGGCCUGUGCUUCUCCUCUGGACCUGAGAGCCUCCUGUGGACCAAGGCCACGAUGAGAGGUGGCAGCGGGGAUGUCUCCAAGAUCGGGAGGUUUGUGGCGAUGAUCACUCUCAGGUACCCGGGCACCCAUCUGACAGCGACUGGGGGAGCUGAGUGACAAGAUGCAGAGCCGUAAUGAAGGGAGGACGGUUGGCAUCUGCUCGUCCAUCUGUGUGUGGAUCUGUCAUCUCCUUCCGGGCAGGCGCUUAACAAUGAACCUGGGAGGGAUCGAAGUCACGGUCGUUGGCUUGUCAGCCAGACUGCCCGCCUCCAGGGGCUGCCGGUGGAGCUCAGUUCCCUUGCUUCACGGCGAUAGGCCCAGCCACCGGGCGCAGAGCACACAUCGCUGUCCCCCAAUCUCACAAUCACCCCACAAAUU
This is a non-coding RNA of Delphinapterus leucas (beluga whale), 542 nucleotides long. The record is from RefSeq and is a predicted model, not a curated record. NCBI's taxonomy places the organism in Eukaryota, Metazoa, Chordata, Mammalia, Artiodactyla, Monodontidae.